This 816-nucleotide small RNA is filed under the name Vigna angularis var. angularis. RNAcentral's name for it is "Non-protein coding transcript". The record is from RNAcentral. Lineage: Eukaryota; Viridiplantae; Streptophyta; Magnoliopsida; Fabales; Fabaceae.
CAUUUGCUAACAACCACUUUCUUUAUUAACAAACCAAAUCUUUGUUUCAAAUACAAAUAAGUUCCAUAAUUAAAGUUCUACAAAAUACUACAGUAAUACAACUAUCCAUAAUUAAAGUUUGGGACUAUAUCUGGUGUACGAAGUUUUACAAACUGCACUUUUGAAUCGCUUUCGGUGCAUGUAAUACUUCAUAACAAUUUCAUUGCUGCAAUCUUCUCCCUACAUCCAAAGUUGUUGCAAUUCUCAUGUUGGUUACAUGGGGUACUGUAACCACCAUAAUAUUUAUUUUUCUCCUCAAGCAACUUAGUCUUCAAUGCUUCAAACUCUUUUUCAAGUGCUUUAAUUUCAACUACUUGUUCCUCUAAAACACCAUCUAAACCAUCAUCAAUAUCUUUUUUCUGUUUUUUAUUGGUUGCUGACCUUGAAUGUGCUUUCUUCCUUUCUUCCUCUCCAGCUGGACUAAAUGAUGCUCUCACAAAUGGCUGACUCAUACCUUGUUGGAGGAACCAAUGUCAGGGGUCGAAGCCAUUGUACAAAAUAACGAACAAAGAACCACAAACUUCAAAAAACCCUUCCAUUGAGACCGGUUAAAGCAGACCACGAACUCCACAAACAAAACUGCACCACACCAACUCAAAUGGGUACACAGUCAACACAACAAACACACAAAAUGAAAUGAAAAUCAAAAACCUGAAAAUGGAAGACGAAAAAGAGAGUGUGAAGGAGAACGAGAGUGAUGGAACAGAGAACGAGAGUGGUGGGGCAGAGAAGAACGACUGUGUGAAGGAGAGACAACGAAAAUUUGAAAAAGAAAUC